UACGUAUGGUGCGAGCGUUGUCCGGAAUUAUUGGGCGUAAAGGGUACGUAGGCGGUUUAACAAGUCAGAUGUUAAAACUUGAGGCUUAACCUCAUGUUGCAUUUGAAACUGUAAAACUUGAGUAGUGGAGAGGAAAGUGGAAUUCCUAGUGUAGCGGUGAAAUGCGUAGAUAUUAGGAGGAAUACCAGUAGCGAAGGCGACUUUCUGGACACAAACUGACGCUGAGGUACGAAAGCGUGGGGAGCAAACA
Molecule: ribosomal RNA, 250 nt
Filed under: uncultured Gallicola sp.
Lineage: Bacteria; Bacillati; Bacillota; Tissierellia; Tissierellales; Peptoniphilaceae
Description: partial 16S ribosomal RNA
Rfam family: Bacterial small subunit ribosomal RNA
Source: RNAcentral